Molecule: ribosomal RNA, 879 nt
Filed under: uncultured bacterium
Lineage: Bacteria
Description: bacterial SSU rRNA
Rfam family: Bacterial small subunit ribosomal RNA
Source: RNAcentral
GCUGGCGGCGUGCUUAACACAUGCAAGUCGAGCGAAGCACUUAUGAUGAUUCUUCGGAUGAAUCAUUUGUGACUGAGCGGCGGACGGGUGAGUAACGCGUGAGUAACCUGCCUCAUACAGGGGAAUAACAGUUAGAAAUGACUGCUAAUGCCGCAUAAGCGCACAGGGCCGCAUGGCCCGGUGUGAAAAACUCCGGUGGUAUGAGAUGGACUCGCGUCUGAUUAGCUAGUUGGCAGGGUAACGGCCUACCAAGGCGACGAUCAGUAGCCGGCCUGAGAGGGUGAACGGCCACAUUGGGACUGAGACACGGCCCAAACUCCUACGGGAGGCAGCAGUGGGGAAUAUUGCACAAUGGGGGAAACCCUGAUGCAGCGACGCCGCGUGAGUGAAGAAGUAUUUCGGUAUGUAAAGCUCUAUCAGCAGGGAAGAGAAUGACGGUACCUGACUAAGAAGCCCCGGCUAACUACGUGCCAGCAGCCGCGGUAAUACGUAGGGGGCAAGCGUUAUCCGGAUUUACUGGGUGUAAAGGGAGCGUAGACGGCUUUGCAAGUCUGACGUGAAACUCCGGGGCUCAACUCCGGAACUGCGUUGGAAACUGUAAGGCUUGAGUGCCGGAGAGGUAAGCGGAAUUCCUAGUGUAGCGGUGAAAUGCGUAGAUAUUAGGAGGAACACCAGUGGCGAAGGCGGCUUACUGGACGGCAACUGACGUUGAGGCUCGAAAGCGUGGGGAGCAAACAGGAUUAGAUACCCUGGUAGUCCACGCGGUAAACGAUGAAUACUAGGUGUUGGGGGACAAAGUCCUUCGGUGCCGCCGCAAACGCAUUAAGUAUUCCACCUGGGGAGUACGUUCGCAAGAAUGAAACUCAAAGGAAUUGACGG